Cotesia glomerata is the source of this 486-nucleotide long non-coding RNA. RefSeq lists it as uncharacterized. The record is from RefSeq and is a predicted model, not a curated record. Lineage: Eukaryota; Metazoa; Arthropoda; Insecta; Hymenoptera; Braconidae. The transcript has 3 exons.
AAAUCCUUAAAAAAAGCAGUACCAUCAAAAUCUCCUAAGCGACCGGUUUCUACGAAACGAAGCGAAAAGUUAGACGAUAUUGUGAUUGAGCUUCUCAUUCUUGAGGUUGAGAAGAGAAUCCCAUUGUGGAACUUCACAAUCCCGAUUAAAGAACGAAGUCGAGAAACGGUCUCAAAUUUGUGGGAAGAAGUUUCGACAGCACUCAAUGGAAAAAUUAGUGGCCCGGACGCAAAGAAAAAAUUUAAAAGCUUGAGAGAUGUAUACCGACGAAUUAUUCAUGCUGAACAACUACCAAGUGGCUCUGGACGCGUUAAUCAAAAAGAGAAAUGGAAAUUUUACGCCUAAAUGGAAUUUCUACGUGAUAUUUGUCUUGUUCGACCAACAAGUAGUAAUGUUAGCCGAGUUGUCGAAGGGGAGCAUGACGAAAAUGAAUGUGAUCAAUCGAUCGAUUUAAGUGAGAGCGUCGAUGAAUAAGUCAAUGAAGAG